GACGAACGCUGGCGGCGUGCUUAACACAUGCAAGUCGAACGGUAAGGCCCUUCGGGGUACACGAGUGGCGAACGGGUGAGUAACACGUGGGUGAUCUGCCCUGCACUUCGGGAUAAGCCUGGGAAACUGGGUCUAAUACCGGAUAGGACCACUGCCUGCAUGGGUGGGGGUGGAAGGCUUUUGCGGUGUGGGAUGGGCCCGCGGCCUAUCAGCUUGUUGGUGGGGUGAUGGCCUGCCAAGGCGACGACGGGUAGCCGGCCUGAGAGGGUAACCGGCCACACUGGGAAUGAGAUACGGCCCAGACUCCGACGGGAGGCAGCAGUGGGGAAUAUUGCACAAUGGGCGCAAGCCUGAUGCAGCGACGCCGCGUGAGGGAUGACGGCCUUCGGGUUGUAAACCUCUUUCAGCACCGACGAAGCGCAAGUGACGGUAGGUGCAGAAGAAGGACCGGCCAACUACGUGCCAGCAGCCGCAGUAA
Molecule: ribosomal RNA, 478 nt
Filed under: uncultured bacterium
Lineage: Bacteria
Description: partial 16S ribosomal RNA
Rfam family: Bacterial small subunit ribosomal RNA
Source: RNAcentral